UAGAUAAAAAACAGAAUAUAUGUGAAUCCAUUUAAUAUCAUUGUGAAUCGAUUACUUAUUUGAUGGUAAGAUGACUUCAAAAAUGUUUCAAAGCAGUUCGAAGUGUUUUGAUUAUGUUUCUAACAUGCAUAUAUCUUAAUGCAUGAUGAAAAUCCUCUCAGUAAGAUUUCUAGUAUUCCGGCUCAGUAAGUUCUCGAUUUUUUAACAUUUUAGGUGUUAGUUCAAUGGUAAAAGCAUAGCUUUGUAAUAAAACAUAAAAAUCACACAAAACAAACAACAAGCUUAAUACAUGAUGAUAUAUUAAAAAAUAACACUAGAUAAAAAAAAUUGGUACAUACUGAGAUAUUAGUGUAACAAAGAAAACGAAACCAUAAGACAAAUGAGAUAAAAGAUUUGUUUAUAUACAUUAAGCUUAUAUAAAAACUAGUUCGCACACAAAAGAUUGAUUUUUUUUUUUAAAGAUUGAAAGAUAGAUGCUUAUAGCAUUUUAUUAAUAAUAAGUUGUUCAAUACAAUGAGGUACAUUGUAAUGAGUAGUGGGACUAACUAAUAAUGUGUCAACCCCAUCAAGGUGUGAGCUACCUCACGUCCUAUUUAAAAGGUUUUCCGAUUGGUACACAAUGGCCUUUACGACACUUAAUAUUAUGUGGAGGCAUUCUUGGACAAUCUUUAUCUGUUAAACAAGGACGAAGAGUCAUACCAAAAGCAUUAGAAUCACAUACUAUUAAGAUAUAAAAUAUGGAAAGAAAUAGAAUCAUAAUAUAAACAAAUUUUAGAGUUUUAUCCAUAUUUUUCCUCUCUGCAUCGAAAAAAUAGAAAACAAUUUGUCAACUUUAUAGGGUAUAAAUUUCAUGCUAUCUUAUGAUUAAUUAAUAGUUUAAUCAUUUAUGAUCUUUUA
This 897-nucleotide long non-coding RNA is filed under the name Medicago truncatula (barrel medic). RNAcentral's name for it is "long non-coding RNA (MTRU_LNC005093)". The record is from RNAcentral. Lineage: Eukaryota; Viridiplantae; Streptophyta; Magnoliopsida; Fabales; Fabaceae.